GACUUAUCCAGAGAGGCGGAGGGACUGGCCCUGUGACGCCCGGCAACCAUCAGGCAGAUGUGUCUGAAAAGGUGCCAAUUCCAGCAGGAUUCAAAUCCUGAAAGAUAAGAG
This 111-nucleotide non-coding RNA is filed under the name Lacicoccus alkaliphilus. RNAcentral describes it as "Salinicoccus alkaliphilus SAM-I sequence". It matches the Rfam family "SAM riboswitch aptamer (S box leader)". Rfam says of the family: The SAM riboswitch is found upstream of a number of genes which code for proteins involved in methionine or cysteine biosynthesis in Gram-positive bacteria. The SAM riboswitch acts at the level of transcription termination control. RNAcentral also lists the same sequence under 1 other name. Lineage: Bacteria; Bacillati; Bacillota; Bacilli; Caryophanales; Salinicoccaceae. The record is from RNAcentral.